This 254-nucleotide ribosomal RNA is filed under the name uncultured bacterium. RNAcentral describes it as "partial 16S ribosomal RNA". It matches the Rfam family "Bacterial small subunit ribosomal RNA", at positions 524 to 776 of the family's 1533-position model. The record is from RNAcentral.
UACGUAGGGGGCUAGCGUUGUCCGGAUUUAUUGGGCGUAAAAGGCUUGUAGGUGGCCACGCCAAGUCGGAUGUGAAAUCUCCCGGCUCAACUGGGAGGGGUCAUUCGAUACUGGCGGGCUCGAGGCCGGUAGGGGGAAGCGGAAUUCCCGGUGUAGUGGUGGAAUGCGUAGAUAUCGGGAGGAACACCGGUGGCGAAGGCGGCUUUCUGGACAGAUACCGACGCUGAGGCACGAAAGCUAGGGGAGCAAACAGG